Molecule: ribosomal RNA, 583 nt
Filed under: uncultured Sphingomonas sp.
Lineage: Bacteria; Pseudomonadati; Pseudomonadota; Alphaproteobacteria; Sphingomonadales; Sphingomonadaceae
Description: bacterial SSU rRNA
Rfam family: Bacterial small subunit ribosomal RNA
Source: RNAcentral
CGGCCUUAGUGGCGCACGGGUGCGUAACGCGUGGGAAUCUGCCCCUUGGUUCGGAAUAACAGUUGGAAACGACUGCUAAUACCGGAUGACGACGUGAGUCCAAAGAUUUAUCGCCGAGGGAUGAGCCCGCGUAGGAUUAGGUAGUUGGUGUGGUAAAGGCGCACCAAGCCGACGAUCCUUAGCUGGUCUGAGAGGAUGAUCAGCCACACUGGGACUGAGACACGGCCCAGACUCCUACGGGAGGCAGCAGUGGGGAAUAUUGGACAAUGGGCGAAAGCCUGAUCCAGCAAUGCCGCGUGAGUGAUGAAGGCCUUAGGGUUGUAAAGCUUUUUUACCCGGGAUGAUAAUGACAGUACCGGGAGAAUAAGCUCCGGCUAACUCCGUGCCAGCAGCCGCGGUAAUACGGAGGGAGCUAGCGUUAUUCGGAAUUACUGGGCGUAAAGCGCACGUAGGCGGCUUUGUAAGUAAGAGGUGAAAGCCCAGAGCUCAACUCUGGAAUUGCCUUUUAGACUGCAUCGCUUGAAUCAUGGAGAGGUCAGUGGAAUUCCGAGUGUAGAGGUGAAAUUCGUAGAUAUUCGGAAGA